GGAUUUUCUCCUUGACAGCUCAUGCAUGCGCAUUCCGGAGAACCGGACGACUCAAUGCAGUCAACUUUCUUGUGUGCGCCAACCUCACCACGGCGACGUAUACCUCCAGUGGCCCCACAAAGGCUCAACCCACACUUUUUUUCUACCCGGGGCCAACUUACCCUAGCUCUAACUUGUCUCUUUUUUCCUUU
This is a non-coding RNA of Caenorhabditis elegans, 191 nucleotides long. NCBI's taxonomy places the organism in Eukaryota, Metazoa, Nematoda, Chromadorea, Rhabditida, Rhabditidae. The record is from Ensembl.